UACAGAGGGUGCGAGCGUUGUCCGGAAUCACUGGGCGUAAGGGCGCGUAGGCGGUCUGGUAAGCGUGUGGUGAAAGCUCGGGGCUCAACCCCGAGUCGGCCGUGCGAACUGCUGGGCUUGAGCACUGUAGAGGCAGGCGGAAUUCCGGGUGUAGCGGUGGAAUGCGUAGAGAUCCGGGAAGAACACCGGUGGCGAAGGCGGCCGUGCUGGGCAGUGGCUGACAC
RNAcentral lists this ribosomal RNA (224 nucleotides) under uncultured bacterium. RNAcentral's name for it is "partial 16S ribosomal RNA". It matches the Rfam family "Bacterial small subunit ribosomal RNA", at positions 524 to 746 of the family's 1533-position model. The record is from RNAcentral.